Molecule: non-coding RNA, 27 nt
Filed under: Bombyx mori (domestic silkworm)
Lineage: Eukaryota; Metazoa; Arthropoda; Insecta; Lepidoptera; Bombycidae
Source: RNAcentral
UAUCUGGGUUGAUGGAAUUUCGGCGGU